Puntigrus tetrazona (Sumatra barb) is the source of this 625-nucleotide non-coding RNA. The record is from the annotation of a RefSeq genome assembly. Lineage: Eukaryota; Metazoa; Chordata; Actinopteri; Cypriniformes; Cyprinidae.
UCUUUAGAAGUGAACGGUCUAAUAUCAUUCAAAACCUCCUAGCUUUUAGAACGUAUAACAUCAUGUAAAAGAUGAAUCAGUAAUUGUGUUUGGUGUCUGUUGAUGAGGGACUGUGUUCAGGUAAAUGAUGUGGAGAGUGUUUGCAUAUUGAUGAGCUGCUUCAGUGCUCUGAGAGUGUUUAUAGUGCUGUGACUUUAACACUUCAUCACCGACACACACAACAAUCUUCAUCAACAUGACCUUCAUCAUCAUCUUCAUCUGGACUCUCACAGCGUUUGCUCAAGAGUGUAGAGGACAGAUCAGCGUCACUCAGAGUCCCUCAACAACAGCAGAGAGAGCAGGAGAAACAGUCAGAAUCAGCUGCAAAACCAGUACAGAUGUGUUCAGUGACUUUUUGGGUUAUCGUUUAGCCUGGUACUUACAGAAACCUGGAGAAGCUCCUAAACUCCUGAUUUAUUGGGCUAACCAACUCAAGUCAGGAACUCCAUCUAGAUUCAGUGGUAGUGGAUCUAACAGUGAUUUCUCUCUGACCAUCAGUGGAGUCCAGACUGAAGAUGCUGGACAUUAUUACUGUCAGAGUUUUCACAGUGGUGGUGUGUUCACACAGUGAUAAAGAGUCGUACAA